AUACGGAGGGUGCAAGCGUUACUCGGAAUCACUGGGCGUAAAGCGCGCGCAGGCGGCUAUUUAAGUUGGAUGUGAAAGCCUACGGCUCAACCGUAGAACUGCAUCCAAAACUAUUUAGCUAGAGUGUGGGAGAGGAAGAUGGAAUUAGUUGUGUAGGGGUAAAAUCCGUAGAGAUAACUAGGAAUACCAAAAGCGAAGGCAAUCUUCUGGAACACUACUGACGCUGAGGCGCGAAAGCGUGGGGAGCAAACGGGAUUAGAUACCCUUGUAGUCC
Molecule: ribosomal RNA, 274 nt
Filed under: uncultured bacterium
Lineage: Bacteria
Description: partial 16S ribosomal RNA
Rfam family: Bacterial small subunit ribosomal RNA
Source: RNAcentral